RNAcentral lists this ribosomal RNA (245 nucleotides) under uncultured Thermomarinilinea sp. Its description in RNAcentral is "partial 16S ribosomal RNA". It matches the Rfam family "Bacterial small subunit ribosomal RNA", at positions 524 to 768 of the family's 1533-position model. Lineage: Bacteria; Bacillati; Chloroflexota; Anaerolineae; Anaerolineales; Anaerolineaceae. The record is from RNAcentral.
UACGUAGGAGGCGAACGUUAUUCGGAUUUACUGGGCGUAAAGCGGGUGUAGACGGCUUCUUAAGUCGGAUGUGAAAUCUCCUGACUUAAUCAGGAGAGGACAUUCGAUACUACGAAGCUAGAGGACGGUAGAGGAAAGCGGAACUCCCGGUGUAGCGGUGAUAUGCGUAGAUAUCGGGAGGAACACCAGUGGCGAAGGCGGCUUUCUAGGCCGUUCCUGACGUUGAGGCCCAAAAGCGUGGGGAG